This 314-nucleotide unclassified non-coding RNA is filed under the name plant metagenome. RNAcentral's name for it is "partial contains 5.8S ribosomal RNA, internal transcribed spacer 2, and large subunit ribosomal RNA". The stretch from base 1 to 105 matches the Rfam family "5.8S ribosomal RNA", at positions 50 to 154 of the family's 154-position model. The record is from RNAcentral.
GAAAUGCGAUAAUUAAUGUGAAUUGCAGAAUUCAGUGAAUCAUCGAGUCUUUGAACGCACAUUGCGCCCCCUGGUAUUCCGGGGGGCAUGCCUGUCCGAGCGUCAUUGCUGCCCUCAAGCACGGCUUGUGUGUUGGGCUUCCGUCCCUGGCAACGGGGACGGGCCCAAAAGGCAGUGGCGGCACCAUGUCUGGUCCUCGAGCGUAUGGGGCUUUGUCACCCGCUCCCGUAGGUCCAGCUGGCAGCUAGCCUCGCAACCAAUCUUUUUAACCAGGUUGACGUCGGAUCAGGUAGGGAUACGCGCUGAACUUAAGC